This 482-nucleotide ribosomal RNA is filed under the name uncultured bacterium. RNAcentral describes it as "partial 16S ribosomal RNA". It matches the Rfam family "Bacterial small subunit ribosomal RNA", at positions 30 to 507 of the family's 1533-position model. The record is from RNAcentral.
AUUGAACGCUGGCGGCAUGCCUUACACAUGCGAGUCGAACGGUAACGGGCCUUCGGGUGCCGACGAAUGGCGAACGGGUGAGUAAUACAUCGGAACGUGCCCGAUCGUGGGGGAUAACGAGGCGAAAGCUUUGCUAAUACCGCAUACGAUCUACGGAUGAAAGCAGGGGACCGCAAGGCCUUGCGCGGACGGAGCGGCCGAUGGCAGACUAGGUAGUUGGUGGGAUAAAAGCUUACCAAGCCGACGAUCUGUAGCUGGUCUGAGAGGAUGAUCAGCCACACUGGGACUGAGACACGGCCCAGACUCCUACGGGAGGCAGCAGUGGGGAAUUUUGGGCAAUGGGCGCAAGCCUGAUCCAGCCACGCCGCGUGCAGGAUGAAGGCCUUCGGGUUGUAAACUGCUUUUGUACGGAACGAAAAGCCUUCUUUUAAUACAGGAGGGUCAUGACGGUACCGGAAGAAUAAGCACCGGCUAACUACGUG